AACGCACAUUGCGCCCCUUGGUAUUCCGGGGGGCAUGCCUGUUCGAGCGUCAUUUCAACCCUCAAGCCUCGCUUGGUCUUGGGCGCUGCCGGCGACGGCUAGCCCUAAAAUCAGUGGCAGUGCCAGUGGGCUCUAUGCGUAGUAAUCAUACCCUCGCUACUGAGACCUGCUGUGCGCGCGCCAGCAACCCCUAAUUUUCUAUGGUUGACCUCGGAUCAGGUAGGGAUACCCGCUGAACUUAA
This 242-nucleotide unclassified non-coding RNA is filed under the name uncultured fungus. RNAcentral's name for it is "partial contains 5.8S ribosomal RNA, internal transcribed spacer 2, and large subunit ribosomal RNA". Lineage: Eukaryota; Fungi. The record is from RNAcentral.